AGUGAACGCUGGCGGCAGGCCUAACACAUGCAAGUCGAACGGCAGCACAGUAAGAGCUUGCUCUUACGGGUGGCGAGUGGCGGACGGGUGAGGAAUACAUCGGACUCUACUUUUUCGGGGGGGAUAACGUAGGGAAACUUACGCUAAUACCGCAUACGACCUACGGGUGAAAGCAGGGGAUCUUCGGACCUUGCGCGAUUGAAUGAGCCGAUGUCGGAUUAGCUAGUUGGGGGGGGAAAGGCCCACCAAGGCGACGAUCCGCAGCUGGUCUGAGAGGAUGAUCAGCAACACUGGAACUGAGACACGGUCCAGACUCCUACGGGAGGCAGCAGUGGGGAAUAUUGGACAAUGGGCGAAAGCCUGAUCCAGCCAUACCGCGUGGGUGAAGAAGGUCUUCGGGUUGUAAAGCCCUUUUGUUGGGAAAGAAGAGCAGCAGGUUAAUACCCCGCUGUUCUGACGGUACCCAAAGAAUAAGCACCGGCUAACUUCGUG
RNAcentral lists this ribosomal RNA (492 nucleotides) under uncultured bacterium. RNAcentral's name for it is "partial 16S ribosomal RNA". It matches the Rfam family "Bacterial small subunit ribosomal RNA", at positions 29 to 507 of the family's 1533-position model. The record is from RNAcentral.